Molecule: long non-coding RNA, 3828 nt
Organism: Myxocyprinus asiaticus (Chinese sucker)
Lineage: Eukaryota; Metazoa; Chordata; Actinopteri; Cypriniformes; Catostomidae
Exons: 3
Source: RefSeq, a predicted model, not a curated record
AAUUUAUUGAGAUGCACCUGUAUAUAGUAUAUUCAAAUGAAUAAAUGUCUAUUUUUCCAGCCUGUUGUAUUAGUAUUUAUUUAUCGGAGAUAACUUUUAAUAUGUGCAAGUGUUUCAGUGUAUUUCGUCUAAAUCAGCCUCUCGCCCAAAUCAGCCUUUCAUAUAGUGGAAAGCACACUCGUGCUUCCCCCUCUCUUUCGCUCUCGCACAAACUCUACUUAUAUACACACACACACACUCUGGAGCAAAGUCAGUGCAGGGUUGUAAACAGUUGUUUAGCAAUGGAAAAGCUGUAUACAAGAAUACUGAAAGUAUACUGCUGAGAAGUAUACUUAAACUUACAUCUUGGCAGUUUGAAGUGAUGUUAUUACCAGUGUUGGGUAACGUUACUUUUAAAAGUAACUUGUUAGAAUAUUGCGUUACUCCUUAAAGUAACUUACUUAAAAAGUUUUUUUUUUAAUUUUAUGGAAACUAAAGCAUUACAUUAGUUUUGCAUUACUUCUCACUGCCACUCUCUCUUCUGCUGUACAUUCAAUACAAAUACAAGAGAUAUGUAGAGGCAUUACAGGUCAUGCUAGCUACUGUACAAUACUCAUGUCAAAACAACACACUAAACAAACAGAUAUUUAGAAAGUCUACAAUCAGUAGGUCUUCAUAUCAUAUUUAUAAUAAAGACUCAAUAACUGGAAUAUGCAUGAUUUGUUUUUCCAUCGACAUGGCAGCCAACAUGAAUAAUGAAGAAUAACCACUGCCUUACCUACAGUAGCAAAGUCCAACACUUAAACCUGCAUCAUAUGUCAUCAUGUGCGGUGCCCAUCAACAAUGCCAGAGUCAACUUGAGAUGUUUUUCAUAAGUUAGGAUAAUUUUCAGUGAGGAAUGCCAACCUAACAUGUUCAAGGAAUAAGUAUGAUGAAUAAAUUACUAUUUUUCACUUAAGUCAUCUCAGUGCACGCUUGUUUUGAGCUGAUCCACGGUGCAUACAGACGCCACAACUUCAGAGGUGCAUGUUGAUACAACUUGAAUGGAAUCAUUUUUAAAGGAAUACCCUAGUUGGGUGCUAGGAAUAGCAAAUUUUCAUUUUUGGGUGAACUAUUCCUUUAAUGCUACCAAAAUGUCUUUAAAGCUUUGUUUCAUGAAUCAAAUUGCUUGUUUAUUAUAGAACAAAAAUGUAGAACAUUUUUAGUAACUAAAACACUUUUUCUGCAUGCACAAUUGAUGUAGAACUGAGUCACUGAUCCAGAGUCAGCUUUUCUCAUCCCAUUCUCCCAGUUACAGGGAGCUCUAACACGGAGCAGUUUGGCUUCAUAAGUCAGUGAAUUGAGCGAGUAUUUCACUCUGUAUAUCAUGUCGUGGCCAUUUUUUUUUAAAUGCAGCGUGUAUUUACACAUGAAUCAAUAGCGUUUCACUCAACCGAAUGUUGUUGACCUCAUAUUAUGUUAAACCACAAUAUGCGCAUGCACGUUAGUGAGUUGAUUGACAGGCGAUGUCUGUAUCUAAAAGUUGAUUGGCUCUUUUACCUGUAAGGUGGGACUUCCUUUCUACAUCCAUUGACUGUUGGUUGCUAGAGCUUCUUGGCUGGGUGUUCCAGUUUCUCCCAUUCAUCUCAAUAGAAGUGACUCGUCUCUGCUAAAUAGUCUCUGGCUUCACACUCUAGAGAAAUACAAUGCCCAUCAUGCACUACCUCUCCUCCUCAAAUUUUGCACACUUUUACUCCUGAUUUCUCACAAUACAGGGACAGUAGAGGUGUACAAAAGCAUUGCGUUACUUUAUUAAAAAAGUAACUCCGAUAUUACGGUCUAAAAUAAAAAAUAUUGCGCUACUUUAAAAGUAAUCUUGAUUACGUAACACGUGUUACUUUUAUCGCAUUACUCCCAACACUGAUUAUUACUGAUGAGACGAGAUGUACGAGAGCCGCAUCAAACAGGUAAUUGCACACGCAAUCUCUCUCAGUUUCUCUCUUUCCCUCACUUGCACAAACGCUCUACCUUGUUACUUCAGUAAGUGCUCCAGUAAAGCACCACAAGCAUCACAAUUCUCCAUUGCUAGUGUAACCCUGGUUAAAUAAUUGUUCAUAUUGUUUAUAAGAUUGCUUGACUAGAAUAUUAUGCCCAUCCAUAUGUCGUAAAUUCUUCGUACAUCAAUAAAUAUGUAUAUCUGAAAUUUAAGAAAUGAGUAACAACCAAUCGGAGCAAUGCAUUGUUAGCUCCGCCUCUCUUGCUUACGAAUAGCGUCACGCAGUUAGAAGACAGACGCAGAGCGACAGAGAAACACGUUCUUGUGUGAGUGUUAAAAUGAAAAAAUAUAACCCAUAAACUGUUCAAAAUACAUAUAAAUUGAAUGAAUCAGAUUGUCACUUCAAGAUCUUGGAUCAUCAGGUGUUAAUCGGGCAAUCCAAAACUUAUGUGCUGACUCGGCCGGACCGCAUGGUGUAUUGCAUGUUUGCAGCUGUUGACGCCAUUUUGGUUGUACGGGCCUAUAAAGAAAGAAAAGAGAGAGAAAAGGACAUGAAUAGACAGGCCAGGUUUUUUUUUUUCUGCGUGGAUAUUCUUCUGAACUGGAUUCCUUUAAUUGAUGGCGAGCCACCCACCUUGAUGCAGAAAGUAUAACGGACCUAGAGUAAAGGACACUUCUUCUCACUUUAUCAUUUCUCUUCAGACAAGUAAGAGAGUUCGUUCACAGAGACUGAUUCUUUUACUUUAUGGGACUGAAACAUUUCAGGAACACAACUAAAGGAGUUAAGACUGAUCCAUUUUCUUAUUGAAAAGGAUUUUUGAACUUAAAAACUGAAUUCAGUGUGGGUAACAUACAUCAUUGAUUUAAAUGUGUUUUCUUCCAUUUCUGUUCACUUUUUACAGUGAUUGCGAUUGUAAUUACUACUAAAUGAAGGAAGAUUUAGAGGGUGCACCCAGGGUAUGUUCAUAUAUAUAGUUAUUGUGUUUUCUCUGGUCAUUGUUGUUGUUAUGGUAAUGUGAAAAAAAAAGAAAGAAAACAAAACACUAAAGAUUCAAAGUAAAGAAAACAUUUAUGGUUAACCCACCUUCUGCCUCUGUCUAUUACUCAGCACCACUGCCGCCUCUUUUUGCAUACCUUGUAGUCUUCUGAUAAUAUUGUCUGGUCCAGUAGUCAGUGAGGUAAGACCUGGUACACUAGUUCUAAAGUGACAUUUUUGAACAAGCAAAAAGGGCCUGGUUGUUUCAAAACAAGACGCUGAAACCUUGGUGGAAGAAAGUAGUUCUACUCACAAGAGCAUAUUAGGGACAAAAACCAGAAAAUGUCUUGAGAUAAAACCCUGAAUGAUGUCUUAAGUUGUGGUAACCGUGGUAUAAGCAGAAUAAUUGACUCCGGCCCAUCUUGACCGCAUUACCACUUCGGGGUGUGCAUUAUUUUUCAAUGAUUCAAUGGUCCGUCAUCAAUUAUUCCUUGCAUGUUCUUUAUUAGAAUACAUGUUGGAGUUACUUUUUAGUUGAGUACAUUAUUAUUUAUAAGCUGGAUAAUCAAAUUGUGAAUCGUCCUUAAGUUUGGAAAAAAUUGUGAUUUUAUUUUUUUGCCAUAUUGCCCAAGGUCACAUGAAAAAAAAAAAAAAUAUGCAGCCUUAUACAUGGAUUCCUUAACACUGACUGACUAAUAGUUUUGUACAUCCCUAUCCUUAACCUGCAAAUUCUGUAUUAAAGAAUGAAACAAAUGUCAUGUCAGACACAACUGUUCAAUAAACAUUUAUUUCUUUUAUUUUUCUUAUUAUCGUCAAUCGUGUUAUCCCUAUUUUUUUUUUAAUUAACAUUAUUUAUUAAAUCAUACGAUAACAAGGAAAUGCAAAACACACACAUAUA